This is a long non-coding RNA of Vicia villosa (hairy vetch), 396 nucleotides long. RefSeq lists it as uncharacterized. The record is from RefSeq and is a predicted model, not a curated record. Lineage: Eukaryota; Viridiplantae; Streptophyta; Magnoliopsida; Fabales; Fabaceae. The transcript has 3 exons.
GUUCUGCUUUGGAUCCCUAUUCAGGAGCUUCGGAAGCAGGUUUUCUUUUAUCACGUUAUGUUCAAGAUUUGCAGAGUAAAUUGUUGGUUGAAGAUUGACACAAAACUCAGUCUCAAAAGUUGCUUAUGGAACCUGUUGAGUCAGUUACUGGUAUAAUUGUGAUUCCAACUAUUGGAGUGUUGUCUGCAAGCAUACUUACGGUGAAGAUUUCAAGUUUAAAGCUGGUUAUGAUUCAGAGGUUCGCCUUGGCUGGGCUUCCCUUUGGGUUGGAGAUGAAGGCGGGAAAGCAAAAACAGCUUCGAUGAAGAUGAAAGUUCAAUUCAUUCAAUUCGACUCGAUUUAUGCUUCGUUGCAACUUAAAUUUUAUUCUGACGUUGCUUCAGUUUUUUAUUCAGG